CCCUUAGACGUUCUGGGCCGCACGCGCGCUACACUGACCAGUGCAACAAGCAUCCGUCCUUGGCCGACAGGCCCGGGCAAUCUUUGAACGCUGGUCGUGAUGGGGAUAGACUUUUGCAAUUUUUGGUCUUCAACGAGGAAUUCCUAGUAAACGCAAGUCAUCAACUUGCAUUGUUUACGUCCCUGCCCUUUGUACACACCGCCCGUCGCACCUACCGAUUGAAUGGUCCGGUGAAGCCUCCGGAUUGGCGCGCACCUCGGUGCCGCCGAGAAGUUGGCUAAACCUUACCAUUUAGAGGAAGGUGAAGUCGUAACA
This 315-nucleotide ribosomal RNA is filed under the name uncultured eukaryote. RNAcentral describes it as "partial 18S ribosomal RNA". It matches the Rfam family "Eukaryotic small subunit ribosomal RNA", at positions 1470 to 1796 of the family's 1831-position model. The record is from RNAcentral.